UUGCCCACCUUGAGCUAAUUGUGCUUCACGUGGCCAGAACAGAGGGGUAAAGCAGUCAUCUCUCUAAAACCCGGGGCAGAUAAACUACCCUCUGUUCCGGAUCCUGUCGUGAGAGACAUUC
This is a small nucleolar RNA of Monodelphis domestica (gray short-tailed opossum), 121 nucleotides long. The record is from Ensembl. Lineage: Eukaryota; Metazoa; Chordata; Mammalia; Didelphimorphia; Didelphidae.